RNAcentral lists this non-coding RNA (87 nucleotides) under unclassified sequences. Its description in RNAcentral is "c-di-GMP sequence". It matches the Rfam family "c-di-GMP-II-GAG riboswitch aptamer". The record is from Rfam by way of RNAcentral.
GCGAGGGGUAGGAGCUCGGAACCGCGGCCCGCAAGACGGGCACUGAAGGGGCGCAGGGGGCUAGUGGUGCGACCGGCUACCGCUCCG